Papaver somniferum (opium poppy) is the source of this 1682-nucleotide long non-coding RNA. RefSeq lists it as uncharacterized. Lineage: Eukaryota; Viridiplantae; Streptophyta; Magnoliopsida; Ranunculales; Papaveraceae. The record is from RefSeq and is a predicted model, not a curated record. The transcript has 2 exons.
GCUCUGCGAUUUCUUAUUUCACCCAAAAUCAAUAGAUGAGGCAGAAUAUUGAAGUUAACAAUUGUAUUAGUAAAGAUGAAACUAAUAGUAAUGUGGUUGUUUGAACCCGGGAAAAAGAAGAUUGAGUUGUUGUUGUAAUUGAAAUUGGGGUUUUAAGAAUGAAUUCAUGUUCUUAGGUGAAUUAAGUUUCUGUUAGAUGAAGAACAGAAGGGUUAUAGUUGAAUUGAAGUUCUGGAUUCGAUUUAGUGAUGAAUUGAAGAAUUAGGGUUUGUAACAAUUUUAAAAAUAUUCGGAAGAUGUAAUUGAAGGUUUGGAAGAAAUAUUAGAGAUGGGUUUUGACAGACUAAAUGAAUUAGGGUUUAUGCUGAAGAAUAAUUAGAGAUUGAAGAGUCGGAGUCUUUAUUGAACCAUUGAUGGUGUUGUUGUGAUGUGUUGUACGAGCUGAAUCAAGUCGGAAUAAAGAAGAAUUGGACUCACUUACUUGAAUGAAGUUAUCUUGAGGUAAUUGUCUACCUAUGUAAAUUUAAUAAGUUAUUAUUACUGGAGUUAAGUUUGGUAGAUUGUUAAUAAGCUAAGAUUGAAUUGGAUAUGCAAUUCUGUAAUGAAAUUGUAGUUGUAGGUUAGUGGCUCUGUGGUGGUGAAAGAAUAUGUGGUUGAUUGUUCAGGUGCUGGUUUAAGGAAUUACUGUUAAAGACCUUUGAGAUGGAGCUGUGUUGAGUUGUGGUUAAGGUUGCUUUGUGUUGAGCCUAAGGGAGUUGGAAUGUGUUAGAAUGAUACAAAAAUUGGGGUUAUGAACUAGUGUUAAUGUGAAAUUGCAGAUGAUGAAAAUGAGUUAAUUGGUAGUUUGUACAGGUUGAUCUUAAUUGUAGAGUUUAGUUACAUAGUGGUGGUUCUGAGGUUGUUGGUGAGUUACAAGGAAUUGUUGGAAGUUGAAUCGAGUUACAGUGAUGGAGAUGUAGGUGAUGGUCCUGUGCAAAGAAUGGAACUGAAGAUACGGUAGUGCUGGUUUAGUAAGUGCAGAAUCAUGGUGUUGUUAACAUAAUUGAAUUUCCAAAUUUAUAGGAUAAAUGAGAAUUCAGGGUAUGAGAUUGUAUUGCUAUGUAUGAUGAAUGUUGUGUUUUGCAGGAGUUGAGAUGAUAUUGGAUACGACCGGUGAUAUUGAAUUGGUUUGGUAGUUCAAUGAAGGAGGUGAGAUAAACUCAGUAGUGAUGUGUUGAUGUUAAGUUGGUUUGGUAUCAGUAAAGUUGUAAUGGUGAAUGAGUGAGUAGUCAUGGUGUUGGGAAACACCUAAUUUAAUUGAACUGGUGGGGGUUAUAAAUGAGUUGUGUUGCCGAUUCUUUCAGGUGUUGGUAUGUGUUGGGUUGGGAAAGUAGAAAAUAUGUGGAAGUAGUGAGAAUCACAGUGGGGACUCUAUUUGAGAGCUUGCAGUUAUUGCGAUUGCAGUUUCAGAGACAGAGCAGAGUUGCGCAGCGAAAGCUCCGAGAAGUUGACUUCGCUAGUUGGUUAUAUUCUGAUAUAUUUAUUAUGUUGCAUAUUCUAUUUGUAAACCAAAUGACUAUUGUAUAUGUAUCAUUUGAGAGGAGUUCUUGUAUAUAUAUUUCUGAGCGGGGUUAGUUUUGGGUUAAGUUUUGUAGCAGAUUUAUAAUUGAAUGCUUAAGUUUAUGAUUUGGUUUCUUAGUGCC